Pelobates cultripes (western spadefoot toad) is the source of this 229-nucleotide non-coding RNA. NCBI's taxonomy places the organism in Eukaryota, Metazoa, Chordata, Amphibia, Anura, Pelobatidae. The record is from the annotation of a GenBank genome assembly.
CUCGUUGUACUCUAUCCUUAAGCCAAUGUUCUACCCAAGAACAAGAAUAUUCAUCUAGACCAAUUUCUUUUAGUUUGAAGACUAACCUAUUGUGAGGAACCGUAUCAAAUGCCUUGGCAAAAUUCAAGUAGAUCACAUCCACUGCAACACCCUGAUCUAUACUUCUACUUACUUCUUCUUAGAAUGCAAUUAGGUUAGUUUGACAUGACCUAUGUUUCAUAAAACCAUG